Molecule: ribosomal RNA, 213 nt
Filed under: Bicosoecida sp. CB-2014
Lineage: Eukaryota; Bigyra; Bicosoecida
Description: partial Bacterial large subunit ribosomal RNA
Rfam family: Bacterial large subunit ribosomal RNA
Source: RNAcentral
CCCUCAGUACGAGAGGAUCGGGGUGGACGCACCUCCGGUGAACCGGUUGUCGACCAACGGCACGGCCGGGUAGCCGCGUGCGGCGCGGAUAACCGCUGAAGGCAUCUAAGCGGGAAGCCGUUCCAGGGAUUAGUUCUCCUUCCGGUAAGGGCCCAGGUAGACUACCUGGUCGAUAGACGGCAGGUGCAAGGACGGCGACGUCCUCAGCCGAGC